UUUUAUUUGAGAGUUUGAUCCUGGCUCAGGAUGAACGCUGGCGGCGUGCCUAACACAUGCAAGUUGAGCGAUUUACUUCGGUAAAGAGCGGCGGACGGGUGAGUAACGCGUGGGUAACCUACCCUGUACACACGGAUAACAUACCGAAAGGUAUGCUAAUACGGGAUAAUAUAUUUGAGAGGCAUCUCUUGAAUAUCAAAGGUGAGCCAGUACAGGAUGGACCCGCGUCUGAUUAGCUAGUUGGUAAGGUAACGGCUUACCAAGGCGACGAUCAGUAGCCGACCUGAGAGGGUGAUCGGCCACAUUGGAA
Molecule: ribosomal RNA, 310 nt
Filed under: Clostridioides difficile
Lineage: Bacteria; Bacillati; Bacillota; Clostridia; Peptostreptococcales; Peptostreptococcaceae
Description: bacterial SSU rRNA
Rfam family: Bacterial small subunit ribosomal RNA
Source: RNAcentral